Molecule: non-coding RNA, 2336 nt
Organism: Oryctolagus cuniculus (rabbit)
Lineage: Eukaryota; Metazoa; Chordata; Mammalia; Lagomorpha; Leporidae
Source: RefSeq, a predicted model, not a curated record
UGCCGCCAGUGGCCCGCCGAGCUGUCACUUAGGGGUGCCGUGGCGCAGCCUAUAUAAGUCUCGUGAGCGCCCGUCCCCCCUUCAUUUACUGUCACGGCGAGGUGUGGCGCGGUUGCUCGUUUGGGGUUCCGGGCUCGGCGCGCUCGGCGUACUUCUAGCCUCCCCGCCACCACAUCUGGCUUUAAUCCUCCCUGGCGUGUGCAGAGGCCGCUCCGGCUGCCAACAAAGGCCCUGAGUACAACAUCUUGAAUCUUCCAACUACACCCGUGGUUAUCUGUUUAACAGUCAAAGACAGUAGAGCCCAAUCCCAGCAAGUCUCAUCUAUGAGCGAGACCACCUUGGAUGUCUUUCCUAUUUGGCAUUCACACCAUUGGGGACGAUGUAUCCAUCAGGGUAUUCAAACAAAGCCGGGUCGUAUGGCUACACAUGAAGGAAUUAUAAUACCUCAUUCUAUUCAAAUGUUGUGGCCAGGGCUGUUUAUAUAAUGUGUGAGGCACUGCUAGAAUCCUUCAAGAAAACCCCAAACAAAAGAGAAUCCAAAUGUUGUGGUGGGAACAGACCCGCUUCCCUACAUCAUUCGAACAAUCAGCAGUGGCUUGUGGGAGCAAAAUCCUUGCCAAGAUGGUUUUAGGAGGCAGACUUGGAGGGUUGCUUUUACCUUGGGAGUGACUUAGACACACACUGAACUGACUCACUUAUGUUUGGUAUAUAUUUAAUAUAUUUGAUGUAAACAGAGGGCCCAUCGGAAAAGAACUGUGUGCCAGAAAAUUAUAGAGCUUUGGCGAUUUCUUCUUUUUCUUCCUUUGUGGAUUUGCUACUUGUAAAAGAUGCUGGAUCAACAGCCCUGCAUCUGGAAUCAUGUAUGCACAAAGCCAAUUCUAGCAGUUCAACUGUGCCAUCCAACCAAUAGACUUCAACUAACCAUUUAUUCACAUAAUAUAUCAAAGACCGUGAUUGCCAGUGUUGGAGUUACGGGUACCUGCACAACAAAAUCUAUGCCUCCUUUUCAUGGCCUCAGAUGUUUCUUUCCCCCUCUUUCAGAGCAACUGACCAUACAAGUAGGUGUCAGUAACAGCCAGUUGGGAAAAAAAAAAAAAAAAAGAAGAAACUACUGGAGAUAUUUUGGACAAAAGAAAUACCAUACUGUGGGUUGGUUGUGAAGGUGUUGGAAGAGCUGGAACAACCAAAUGAGGACAGAAGGGUGGAAGAGCAAAGAGAACACAGGAUGGAUACCCAUGUAUCAGAAGCUGUUAAUGGCUGUGGGUCGGAAACCCUGGGCUAACACCUGCCAAGGCACUAGUAGAGAACUUUGGCUGUUGUUUCUAGAACUCUGAAAAAGUGCUGCCUGGGCAUGGGCAGCUGGUGACAGGAAUGACCGGAACUCCACUAUUCGCACAGCUGUUGCCAACAACUUGUAGCAACUGAUGCAUUGUUGAAGGGAAGGGGAAACAGGAAGUUUCUCUCCUUCCUCCUUCUUCUAAGGCCACCCUCCACCACCACCACCACCAUCAGUGCCCUUUCCUGGCAGAACCUAACAGAAAGCUAGCUGGAGACCAGAACCCAGGAAAUGCAACUAGCUAACCCCAGCGUCCCAGGGCAGACACCAGAAAGGCCACAUGUGAAGCCAGAAUCCAUGGGUAAGUAACCAACCCAGUGAGAACAAAAAACCCCAUUUAGCACAGUGGUUAAGAUGCCUCUUGGGAAACCCACAUCCCACGUUGGAGUAGCUGAAUAUCCAUGCCUGAGUUCAAGUCCCAGCUCUGUUCCUGAUUCCAGCUUCCUAUCACUGGACACCCCGGGAAGUAGCAGGUAAUGGCUCAAGUAUUUGGGUCCCUGCCAUCCACAGGGAAGACCCAGAUGGAGUUCUGGGCAUCUGACUUUGGCCUGUUUCAGCCCCAGCUAUUGGGUGCAUUUGGGUAGUAAACCAUCAGGUGGAAGAUCUCUGUCCGUCUGUCCAUCUGGAUAGCUGUCUGCUUCUUUGCCUUUUGCAUAAAUAAAUAAAAAGUUUUAAAAAGACACGUUAGGGGCCGGCGCCGCGGCUCACUAGGCUAAUCCUCUGCCUUGCAGCACCGGCACACCGGGUUCUAGUCCCGGUCAGGGUGCCGGAUUCUGUCCCGGUUGCCCCUCUUCCAGGCCAGCUCUCUGCUGUGGCCCGGGAGGGCAGUGGAGGAUGGCCCAGGUGCUUGGGCCCUGCACCCCAUGGGAGACCAGGAUAAGUACCUGGCUCCAGCCAUCGGAUCAGCGCAGUGCGCCGGCCGCAGUACGCCAGCCGCGGCAGCCAUUGGAGGGUGAACCAACGCCAAAAGGAAGACCUUUCUCUCUGUCUCUCUCUCUCA